RNAcentral lists this long non-coding RNA (246 nucleotides) under Rosa chinensis. Its description in RNAcentral is "sRNA RchiOBHm_Chr1g0332151". The record is from RNAcentral. Lineage: Eukaryota; Viridiplantae; Streptophyta; Magnoliopsida; Rosales; Rosaceae.
UUGAAUCCUAUAAUUUAAAGCUUGGGUCAUUAUGUCAUCUAAUUCUUAGGUCUGAUUUCUGCGAAAUUAGGAGUUUCGAAUUUCCGGAAUAUUGUCUUGAUUCCAUUCUUCUGGGCUUGGUUAUUGUGGUUUUGGGUUUGGUUUGUUUGAUUUUUGAUUGUGGAAUUUGAGAAUAAGGGUUUGAUUUUUGCUUCAUUGUUUAUGGCUUGGCCAUCUAACUAUAGACUUCUUUAUUUGAGUUGUUAG